Carica papaya (papaya) is the source of this 1484-nucleotide non-coding RNA. NCBI's taxonomy places the organism in Eukaryota, Viridiplantae, Streptophyta, Magnoliopsida, Brassicales, Caricaceae. The record is from RefSeq and is a predicted model, not a curated record.
ACGGUGCCACCUCCUCUGUUUACUUCAUCACUGGCCUCGACUACCUCCGUUCCCAUCAUUAUUGCCACUACCAGAACCUUCACUCUCUAUUGGAAUCAUCACCUCAAUUGCACCUCUGUUAUAGUUACCACCAACAUUGUCAUCAAUGCUACUAUUGUCCCUACUGCUGCCACCUGUACUCCUCUAUUGUUGUCACUGUUAGCACUGAUAUUUUGGUUGUUGCUGUCACUGACACUGUCUCUACCUCCUGCUACCAUCGCUACCAUCUCUCUUAUCAUUAUUGCUACUACCAACUAUUGAAAUGAAUUAAGAAGGUAACAUGUUUCUUGUGGUACAUUAUUCAUUUCCUUCUUUAAUCAUCCCAAACAUUAAACAUAUAUGGUAUGUUAGGAUUUUACCCGUCAGUAUCUUAUCAUUCCCUAACCUACACCUUCUCCUACUCACCUCACUACCAUACCGAGUUACCAAAGCAUAGUCUUUUCUAUUAGAAGGUAUUUAUAUAUUAUUUAUGUAAUCUUAGUAGUCUCAUGUGUUUCUAAAUAAUAUAGGUUGUUCCAGUCAUAUUAGUUGGAUUUAGGAAUUAUUUUGAUUGUAUCUUUUUCUGAUGGUGAGCGUGUAGUCCUAUUUUGUCAAAUUGCUUCGGGUUUUCGUCUAACAUUUUCUAUACAAAUGAUAGGUGAUCGAGCAUAUGGAGGAGGAUCAGGCCUGUCUGUUUGGUGAAGUUGUUCUGAGUCAUUUUCAGCCAAAGGUUCUUAUAAUUUCCACUCCAAACUAUGAAUACAAUGUGAUACUCCAGAGGUCUAGUAUGACAGUAAACCAAGAAGAUGAUCCAGAGGAGAAUACUCAACUGCAGUCAUGCAAAUUUCGGAAUCAUGACCACAAGUUUGAGUGGACAAGGGAGCAGUUUAGUUGCUGGGCAACUAAGCUAGCAACAAAGCAUAAUUACUUGGUAGAAUUCGGUGGGGUUGGUGGCUCUGCUGAUGUCGAACCUGGAUUUGCUUCGCAGAUUGCUGUAUUUAGAAGGAAAUUAUCAUGUCAGGAUGAUGGUCUUCUGAAAAAGGAAAAUUCCAUCAAAUGUUACAACGUUUUAUGGGAGUGGAAGAGCAGGGAAGGCUCGGAUUCUGCUGCAUGACAAACAUCUGAUUAUUUUUAAUUUAAAGGGGACGGGUUGGCAGAGGACCGGUGCAUUCAGCUGUUUCCCGGCUAAAGGGGGCUCGCGGUCGCUGGCUUCUUGUUUAUUUGUCUAUAUAUAAAUACUCAUUUGAUCCCAAUUCUCAGCAACUGAUAUUUUCGUACCCUAAGUUUUUGUUUGGGGGAAGAAAGGGGUAGAUAACCCCUCCUAAUUAUUUAAGAAAAUCAACUCGACCCUCUCUAAUUCUCUGUAUCAAUUGUUACCAUUUGAUAGCAUAUCGUUGUAAAUGGCAACUAUAACAGUGUUUGUAGACUUGUAUAUUCUGUGUUAUCAUAUAUUUUAUCAAAUAGCA